AUUGUUUAGCCAAUGAAGGAUUUCGCGCCACGGAAUGAAUCGAAGAACUGAGAACGUUUCCAAUACCGACAGCAGCUCCCGCUAAAGCAAUUGUAGCAGCUCCAGCACCUAUUGAUUUAGCUCCUUCUAACAUGUAGAGUUGAGAGUUGACAUUGUCGGGUUUCACGCUUUUCCUUCGCAACUAGAAAUUUCGAGUUCGAGUAUAGUAUAGUAUUUCUCGUUGAUUUGAUUCCUUCCUCCUCUCCUUAUCCUUAGUUGAACAGAUGAAAGCGAAAGGAGUUGCUUCAAUGAAACUGGAAAACCUAAAACCCACAUAGUGGAAUAAUAAACCCAGCCCUGCCCUUAUCUUGGGCUUGACAGGUAGACUAUAAAGAGAUUCAGUACAACAAGCCUGCGCAGGAGUUCUAGCUAUUUCCAAUUUGAAUAAAUAACCCGAUCAUAUCAUAUCAUAUCUUGGAAAACCCUAAGACUACCCGAGGCUGUACCCUAUAGUAAUUUCCUUCUACCUCUUAUCUCUAUAGUCUUUACGUCGUCUCCUGGGUCGGUUAAGCUAUAACCUAGUAGUACCGGGAACAACUCCUCUAAGCAUCAAGUCAAUUAAGGAACCCGAUUUGUUGGGUUUUGAACUGUUAAAUGGUUACACGCCCGACAUACUGUCUGAUAGGGUGGCUAACCCGAUUCAUUCCUCGAAUCGUAAAUCAUUACUAUUUUUGCUUGCUCGAGUAGAGUCGAAAAGUGGGGAACCUGGAUUCCCAGCAGGUGAUCUCGAUCACCAUAAUAUGAUAUUUUGCAUUCCCUUAAUUUCUGAGAUGGAACUCUUUUCCAACAUAAAAUACAAGUCUAUCAGUUCAAUAAAAGUAUGGGUUAACCAUUCCUCCUCUUAAGUUAGGGGUUUGGGAUUAGUAGAGUAGUAUAACUACAGCUCUAGUAGUUAAAGGCGGGAGGGGUCCGACCUGACUAUUGGUUCUUUCCUCUAAAGAAACAUAGCUAAAAGGUGUCUGAUCUUGUCUAUAUUGUCCGAAGUAGCCUUUGGUUGUCAAAGUAAGUGAAA
This 1051-nucleotide long non-coding RNA is filed under the name Zea mays. RNAcentral describes it as "long non-coding RNA (ZMAY_LNC002464)". The record is from RNAcentral. Lineage: Eukaryota; Viridiplantae; Streptophyta; Magnoliopsida; Poales; Poaceae.